Molecule: non-coding RNA, 359 nt
Organism: Nicotiana tabacum (common tobacco)
Lineage: Eukaryota; Viridiplantae; Streptophyta; Magnoliopsida; Solanales; Solanaceae
Source: RefSeq, a predicted model, not a curated record
CUCGUGAUGUGUUGGCAAUUCCAAUUUCUAAUGUGGCGUCAGAAUGCGCGUUUAGCACUGGUGGCCGUAUUCUUGAUUCAUUUAGGAGUUCAUUGACUCCUAAAUGUGCGAAAGCUCUUAUUUGUGUUCAAGAUUGGCUUAGAGAAGAGAAGAAUCCUAUUAGUGUUGAAGAAGACUUGAAGUAUCUUGAGGAACUCGAGCUUGAUAUGGAAAAUAAUGGAAGCACUACUAGCAUUGUUUGAUGUAUAGUUGCAACUUGCAUCUUGAGUGGUUCAAGUGCAAUCAUGCCCCGUGCUACUGCUCAACGCUCCGAUAUUGGGGAAUACUUUGUGGUGAAAGAAGAUAACGGAGAAGUUAGC